GGCUUUGAAGCGGUGACGCCAGUCAUCGUGGAGCCUCCCUUGAGAUACCACCCUUCGCACUCUUGAUGUCUAACCGCGGUCCGUUAUCCGGAUCCGGGACCCUGCGUGGCGGGUAGUUUGACUGGGGCGGUCGCCUCCCAAAGCGUAACGGAGGCGCGCAAAGGUGAGCUCAGGUUGGUCGGACAUCAACCGCUGAGUGCAAUGGCAAAAGCUCGCCUGACUGCGAGGCCGACGGGCCGAGCAGAGACGAAAGUCGGUCAUAGUGAUCCGGUGGUCCCGAGUGGAAGGGCCAUCGCUCAACGGAUAAAAGGUACGCCGGGG
This 321-nucleotide ribosomal RNA is filed under the name Schmidingerella taraikaensis. RNAcentral describes it as "partial Bacterial large subunit ribosomal RNA". It matches the Rfam family "Bacterial large subunit ribosomal RNA", at positions 2153 to 2473 of the family's 2925-position model. Lineage: Eukaryota; Ciliophora; Spirotrichea; Tintinnida; Rhabdonellidae. The record is from RNAcentral.